This 326-nucleotide ribosomal RNA is filed under the name uncultured eukaryote. RNAcentral describes it as "partial 18S ribosomal RNA". It matches the Rfam family "Eukaryotic small subunit ribosomal RNA", at positions 1470 to 1796 of the family's 1831-position model. The record is from RNAcentral.
CCCUUAGAUGUUCUGGGCUGCACGCGCGCUACACUGAUGCACUCAACGAGUUUACGACCUUGCCCGAUAGGGUUGGGUAAUCUUUUUAAAAUGCAUCGUGAUGGGGAUAGAUUAUUGCAAUUAUUAAUCUUCAACGAGGAAUUCCUAGUAAGCGCGAGUCAUCAGCUCGUGCUGAUUACGUCCCUGCCCUUUGUACACACCGCCCGUCGCUCCUACCGAUUGAGUGCUCAGGUGAAUAAUUCGGACUGCAGCAAUGUUUGGAUCCCGAACGUUGCAGCGGAAAGUUUAGUGAACCUUAUCACUUAGAGGAAGGAAAAGUCGUAACA